UGGGGGAUAGUGUAACGGUAGCACAAGUGAUUCUGGUUCACUUUGUCUUGGUUCGAAUCCAGGUCCCCCAG
RNAcentral lists this transfer RNA (71 nucleotides) under Candidatus Omnitrophota bacterium. RNAcentral's name for it is "tRNA-Gln". It matches the Rfam family "tRNA". From Rfam's summary of the family: Transfer RNA (tRNA) molecules are approximately 80 nucleotides in length. Lineage: Bacteria; Pseudomonadati; Candidatus Omnitrophota. The record is from RNAcentral.